Molecule: long non-coding RNA, 392 nt
Filed under: Hordeum vulgare
Lineage: Eukaryota; Viridiplantae; Streptophyta; Magnoliopsida; Poales; Poaceae
Description: long non-coding RNA (HVUL_LNC011830)
Source: RNAcentral
CAUACUCAAUGUACGGAUACGACGGUUUAGUCGGUGUGUCGACAAGUCACGAGUCAACAACGAGUCAAGACAAGACGGAACACUAAGAAGAUGGCAUGUCAAGAUUAGGAAGAGAUCGUUAGGUAUAAUCUUGAGUUUGUAGUCACUAGUGCAUGUACAGGUUGUGCUAGGACGUGUAGUCCAUGGUCUUGGGCUAAGUACGUGUCUAGUUUAGAUAGUUCUAGGAGUCCUGAGUCAUGUACGGGUACUAGUCCUUGCAGGAACAGGUUAGUAGGUGUCCGAGGUUAGUUUGGCUAGUUAGAGUCCGAGUAGGACUUGUGUCAUGUUGGUCAAGGCUGCGUGCAUAUAUAUAGACGUGAAGGUAUGUGGAUUUUGGAGUACCGUGACUUGAG